GAGGGUAUAUCUCAGUGGUGGAGAGCGUGCUUGGCAUGCACAAGGUCCUAGGUUCAAUCCUCAGUACCUCCA
Molecule: transfer RNA, 72 nt
Filed under: Camelus bactrianus (Bactrian camel)
Lineage: Eukaryota; Metazoa; Chordata; Mammalia; Artiodactyla; Camelidae
Also listed under: 3 other names
Rfam family: tRNA
About the family: Transfer RNA (tRNA) molecules are approximately 80 nucleotides in length. Their secondary structure includes four short double-helical elements and three loops (D, anti-codon, and T loops).
Source: Rfam by way of RNAcentral